Molecule: unclassified non-coding RNA, 474 nt
Filed under: rhizosphere metagenome
Description: partial ribosomal RNA internal transcribed spacer region
Source: RNAcentral
UUCCCUGGUAAAGCUUUAACCUGCUGAAGCCUGACACGGCGACUAUAAAUCAAGUGUGGAGUCUUGACUUUGGGCAAGACAAUGCCGCUGAAAUGCUGUCAUCGACUAUUGUUGUACCAGCAGCCAGAUGCGUCUUGAGUGACAACUGGCCCACAGAUCAAGGUGCGGUGGUUUCUGUUGAGGGCCUGCCUUCAACGAAACUUUGAUAUGACCGGUCCCAACCGUGAUGGUUGAGAGUCCACGUUCCGUAGGUGAACCUGCGGAAGGAUCAUUAUCGAGUCAGGGUCUUUUAGGCCCGAAACUCCAACCCUAUGUUUAUUUACCAUGUUGCUUUGGCGGGCCCGUCUUAACUGACCGUGGGAGGCUGGUCUUCUCGCCAGUGCCCGUCAGUAGCCCCUUUAAAUUCAUUAUAAUAGUGAUGUCUAAGUCUAAAUUAAAUCGUUAAAACUUUCAACAACGGAUCUCUUGGUUCUG